CGUCCCAUUCGCCUCCCCCUCAACCGCCUCCUCUCUCCCCGCUCGUCCCCUCCUCUCCCCCACGCCGCCCCUCCUCUUCCCGCUCGUCUCCUCCUCUCCUCUUCCCUCGACGUCGUCCCUGCUUCCCUCUCUGACCCGGGCCAGAGCCUCGCCGGCCGCUCCCCCCCAGCCGGUGUCCCUCUCCAGAUGCAUCCUCCACGAGAUCCGGGUACGGAGAGAGUCAUGGUGGUAGGGGCAGAUGCGUGAGGAGGAGAAGGCCGUGGUCAUGGUGGCGCGACGGAGGUCGUGCCUCGCCCCCGCCGCUUCUCUCGCGCCCCCCUUUUCCCUGCCCCCUCCCCGGCGUCCUUGCCUCUGCCAUGGCCUCCACCCUCCCUCUCCAUCGACCUUCCUGAGCUCUCCAUCUUCAGGGUCGCCACCAUCCGAUGCCGCACGCCAUGAUUCCAGAUCGGCUGCAGGUUGAGGAGCGGUUGCUGCAGUGAGGGCAGCAGGGUCCCCACCCCGGUGGCUGCGUGCAGAGGGGGAGUGGUCAAGGACGGUUGCCAGUUCAUGGAGGAGAGAUGCAACACAGCCGUGAGCUCUUUCUUCCUCCUUUCCUCAUCUUCCCAUGGUGAACUGAGCUCAUACUUCCUUUUUUUUCUUCUAAUUGUGCACAUAGUGUUUGGGUUGCAGUUGAUUCCUACACUCAGUUUCAGUGGUGGCAUGGUGUCCAUCUCCAGGCCGGUUGCAACCUUCUGCCCCCAUCAUUCCCUGUAUUUUUUUCAUAAUUUACACACUAAGUUGUAGAUUGGUCGGAUCUAUUGGCAUUAGGCAGCACAAGAAUAACAAUAUUUGUCUGCUUUUUCAUGUGCAGGUUCAGCAGCGGCAAUGCUCAAGAUAGAGUUAGGCCGGUCUGAAUAAACAGAGAUGAGCAGCAGCAGGGUUGGGUGCCCCAUUUGUACGCAUUGCAUUGGUUAAUUUUGUUGUGCUCAUGUUUCCGUUUCAUGCCUCAAGCUCAAGACGCGCGAGGUGAUGGUUUGGUUGGGAUGGUGCUGCUGCUCCGCAAGUACGAGCUUCUGCACUGUGUUUUGCUCUCUCAACUUGCCUCCCCUUGAAUGAAUGGACGCAGAAUAAUGUGUUGACAAGCUACAUGAGGUUGGGCUUUGCGAUUGCACCCUGUUUGUGUGCUGGCAGGAAGGAAGAACUAAGAAAAAGUGUGUUGUUUCGCUGGAUUCUUCUUCCUUUGAUUUCACCAAACUUUGUGGCAGUGGUUGGCUUCUCGACUCCGACACUCUGUAUGGACUAGCCCGGUCUUUGCCCAGAAGUUCUAGAAGGUACAAUGCUGAAAAUUCAGUAGAACAUGGUGCUCCUAUAAAUACUGAUAAUCCGGAACCUGGCAACCAUUGGCUUUUGAAGUUUGGCAGUUUGUUAAAGAGCAAAUUGAUCCAAGUGAAUUGAUCCAAGUAAAGAGCAAAACUGAAGUACCAAUGUACCUCUUAUAAAUUUGGUCACUAUUGUGCUCUCUGACAGGAAUGCAAGUUUUGUGAUAAAGGGUCCACAGCCAAAGCACCACUCGAGUUUCAUAUGCAGUACAAAGACGAGGCUAGAAAUUGAUCUUAAGUCUGAAGGAACGUCACUUUUGAAAGAAGAACAAGGAUUAGCAAGAGGCUGCUAAGGAGGCUGCAACACCUCGUGCCCAACAUGGACAAGCAAACAAAUACUUCAGACAUGCUGCGUAUUGCUGUAGACUACAUCAAAGUGGGUGCUGCAGGACCAAAUUGAGGUUGUUGAUCUGGAGAUGACUGGCUCAACUGAGACUGUACCACUUCACCGCCUUGACGAAUCGAAGGAUUACUUAGUAAUUUUUCUGGUGACACCAAUCAGGCCAGAUUGUAAGCCCUUCCCUGCAGUUUGUUUGAUCAGGUUACCCCAUUGUUCAAAGUGGAUAUGCAUGGUGCUUGUGGAUUCAUGCUAUUUGGACCGAAUUUGGCUUUUUGACCUGGUUAGGCAUUUUCUUAUUCAUGCUAUUUGGACCUAAUUUGCAGAACGUUAAAGUCACCAGCUAGGAUUUUGACCUGGUUAUCUGGUUUUGGCUUAUAGCACAACAUGGCGGUAGUGUAGAAAAGAUCUAAACAGAUUCUGAAUUAACCCAACUAGACAUGGAAACCAAGAACGACCUAUCGGCUGGGUCCAGUUCCUCAUCUUUGUCUCCGAGCAAAAUGAUCAUCUGGAAGCGGAUGCUACCAAGAUCAUGCCAAAGGCAGAGCAUGCCAAAGGCGAUGCUCAUUCCCGUUCUUAGUGAGAUGGGUUUAUUCGAUGCAAAGUAUGAGCAUUGCAGACUCUGGCGAGCUGUUGAAGGUCGAUGAGGAGGACGCCGCCACCACCGUCAUCAGGCUGGUCCACAUCCACGCGCUGCUCGGCGUCGCCAGGUCACCGGCACAACUCCUCACGCCCAGGUCAUUCAACAUUUUCUUUCGCUUUUGGUGUGUUGCAUUUAGAGUCUUUCUUUCCCAUUUUACCGUGUUUGCAUGGUAAGAUGUUUGGUUGGAUUUGAAGGUUCAUAGCCUUGGCUCCAAAGCUUCAAGCUCUUAUAGAAAUUAGAACUGAGGGCCUUUUAAAAUGAGUCCUGCAUAAUAGUGUUGUUCAGUGGGAUGCAGAUUGUUUGGUAGUCUGAUCGGCUAUCCUUGGUGCUGAUUUAUGUACUGAUUUCAUCAUCAUAUGACUACAAUAAAGAAGUUAUGUGUAUACAUAUUACGAACUGCUGAUACUUUGCAUCAGUGAUUUCAAUUC
Molecule: RNA transcript, 2766 nt
Organism: Triticum aestivum (bread wheat)
Lineage: Eukaryota; Viridiplantae; Streptophyta; Magnoliopsida; Poales; Poaceae
Exons: 7
Source: RefSeq, a predicted model, not a curated record